AUGCACGCUGGCGGCGUGCCUAAUACAUGCAAGUCGCGCGAACAGACGAGGAGCUUGCUCCUCUGACGUUAGCGGCGGACGGGUGAGUAACACGUGGAUAACCUACCUAUAAGACUGGGAUAACUUCGGGAAACCGGAGCUAAUACCGGAUAAUAUAUUGAACCGCAUGGUUCAAUAGUGAAAGACGGUUUUGCUGUCACUUAUAGAUGGAUCCGCGCCGCAUUAGCUAGUUGGUAAGGUAACGGCUUACCAAGGCAACGAUGCGUAGCCGACCUGAGAGGGUGAUCGGCCACACUGGAACUGAGACCCGGUCCAGACUCCUACGGGAGGCAGCAGUAGGGAAUCUUCCGCAAUGGGCGAAAGCCUGACGGAGCAACGCCGCGUGAGUGAUGAAGGUCUUCGGAUCGUAAAACUCUGUUAUUAGGGAAGAACAAAUGUGUAAGUAACUAUGCACGUCUUGACGGUACCUAAUCAGAAAGCCACGGCUAACUACGUG
This 496-nucleotide ribosomal RNA is filed under the name uncultured bacterium. RNAcentral's name for it is "partial 16S ribosomal RNA". It matches the Rfam family "Bacterial small subunit ribosomal RNA", at positions 29 to 507 of the family's 1533-position model. The record is from RNAcentral.